This is a long non-coding RNA of Leguminivora glycinivorella, 434 nucleotides long. RefSeq lists it as uncharacterized. Lineage: Eukaryota; Metazoa; Arthropoda; Insecta; Lepidoptera; Tortricidae. The transcript is spliced from 2 exons. The record is from RefSeq and is a predicted model, not a curated record.
CAUGUUAUAACGGUGCCUCGGCCCGGAGAAGAGAUCAAACUGCAGCGCGGCGCGCACGUCGCUCGUGCACAGAUAUGGGCCGCGCCCUUGAAUCGUCAUGUGUGAAUUUCUAAUAGUUAUAUGAAACCAUAAAACACAUAGUUAAUUUAUAAAAGGUGCAUCUCGUUUGUUACGACACUUCAUUACAAAUCAAGUGCAUAUAUUCCCCCACUUUGGGGACUACUCGACGGGCUCACUACUAUCACGCCCGCAAACCUUCACCCUGCCUGGACGCCUCUGCCCACUCGCGUCGAACGCCGCGUCACACGCCACUACCGACGCCAGGACGCCAGGACAGUAACGCUCAGCUACGCUGCGAUCCAUUUGCCAUCACCACCGUAGGCCUACGACCCACGUCCCUAAAUAGUCCUAAUAAAUAGAUUUAACACUUUGUA